AUUGAACGCUGGCGGCAGGCUUAACACAUGCAAGUCGAGCGGAGACUUCGGUCUUAGCGGCGAACGGGUGAGUAAUACCUAGGAAUCCGCCUAUUAGUGGGGGAUAACGAAUCGAAAGGUUCGCUAAUACCGCAUACGUCCUACGGGAGAAAGGGGGGGAGUCUUCGGACCUCUCGCUAAUAGAUGAGCCUAGGCCGGAUUAGCUAGUUGGUAGGGUAAAGGCCUACCAAGGCGACGAUCUGUAGCUGGUCUGAGAGGAUGGCCAGCCACACUGGAACUGAGACACGGUCCAGACUCCUACGGGAGGCAGCAGUGGGGAAGUAUUGGACAAUGGGGGCGAACCCUGAUCCAGCCAUGCCGCGUGUGUGAAGAAGGCCUUCGGUUG
RNAcentral lists this ribosomal RNA (385 nucleotides) under uncultured bacterium. RNAcentral describes it as "bacterial SSU rRNA". It matches the Rfam family "Bacterial small subunit ribosomal RNA", at positions 30 to 425 of the family's 1533-position model. The record is from RNAcentral.